This 621-nucleotide ribosomal RNA is filed under the name Triticum aestivum (bread wheat). Its description in RNAcentral is "partial small subunit ribosomal RNA". The record is from RNAcentral. Lineage: Eukaryota; Viridiplantae; Streptophyta; Magnoliopsida; Poales; Poaceae.
AUGAAUAGGUUUGGGGGAAGAUUUGAUGGAGGAAGAGGGAGAUUCAAUAGAGGGGAGAGAGAGGGAUGGCAGUACAAAAGGAAAGAAGAGGGUGAAAAUCACUACAGGAACUUGCCACCUUGGGAGGAAAGAAGAGAUCCUGCUGGAGGAAGAGAGUCUGGACGGAGCCAAGAGAGACAAGAGGUCCGGCAAGAAGUAGCAUCAGGAGGGAGAGGCGAAGAUGAGGAAAGUGUGAAGAAUAAGGACAAAAGGAAAGAGGAAGGGCAGAGGAUUGAGCAGGGGACCGCGUCUGGAGCUUUGGAGAAAGGUGGACAAGAGCUACUUCAACAACAACAGGUACUGCUCAAUGCCCUUCUAGCGCAAAUAUCGCAAGGGAAAAAUCUUGCUGGUGGUGAGGCAAAUAUUAGAUCUGGUGGUGGUACUGCUCAAGGCAGCGGGGGAAGUGAAAUCAGAGACAGUGGGAUGAACAGAGGGGUGCCUGACCCCAGGAGCGUAGGGAUUCAAGGAAGAGAAGCCCUGAUGAGCUACAACACAGGUGGGACUCAAAGGCAGAGGAACUUUGGUGCUGGGGAUGGAGAUACCUACACUAACAGAAGCCAGCGGGAGGGAGGAAGGACAUGA